RNAcentral lists this ribosomal RNA (253 nucleotides) under uncultured organism. RNAcentral's name for it is "partial 16S ribosomal RNA". It matches the Rfam family "Bacterial small subunit ribosomal RNA", at positions 524 to 776 of the family's 1533-position model. The record is from RNAcentral.
UACGAAGGCCUCGAGCGUUAUCCGGAUUUACUGGGCGUAAAGGGUGCGUAGGGGGCUGGAUGCGUCUCUCGUAAAAUCUCACCGCUUAACGGUGAUAUCGCGAGGGAUACGAUCCGGCUAGAAGGUGCGAGAGGUUUGCGGAACGCAUGGUGUAGGGGUAAUAUCCGUUGAUAUCAUGCGGAACACCGAAGGCGAAGGCAGCAAACUGGCGCAUUCUUGACCCUGAGGCACGAAAGCGUGGGGAGCAAAAAGG